CCGUGGUCACGAUGUUUUUGUCUGCUCCAGAGGUGAGUUAUUACGACUUUGGGACAGACGAAACAUCUCAGACCAACG
Molecule: non-coding RNA, 78 nt
Organism: Branchiostoma floridae (Florida lancelet)
Lineage: Eukaryota; Metazoa; Chordata; Leptocardii; Amphioxiformes; Branchiostomatidae
Source: Rfam